GUACCAAACAGUGGAUAGUGAUAGUGUGACUAGUUGCUGAUGAUCCCCGAGCCUGUAGCUUCCAAAUGAGAUCUAUAAAACAGAGGAAACAAAGUACACGGAGUAAGCAUUAUAAUGCUUAGUAAGUUUUAAGCAGUGUCAACAGAUAACAAUCAAAUUAUAACAUAGUUGUUCGUAUUUUUAUUUCACUCUUCCUUCGGGCAUACCAUCCCUUUACCGAAUAUGCACAUCUCCUCAUAUAUAGUAGGCAGAUAAAUUCUCACUUGAUAGUGACCUCUUAUGAUCAUAGGUACAUUACAUAUUUUUUUUUCCUGACUUUCCACAUUGACCAAAUGCACAAUAAUCAUAGAACAGUCUUAUUGCUUUACUCACAUGUGCAUCACAUAACGACCUUGUGAUUUAGUCUAAAUCAAACUUAAAUAUAAUCUCAAAAUACAUACCUGACCAACUUAACGCAUUGAACGUAUUUAUUACCAAUUGUUACUGUGAAGUUGUAUAAUCUUACGCUUUACUUGAAUCUUCAGCAAAACCUUUAGUUCGGGGCUUACCUGGACAAAAUCUCCACACGUAGUCAUCGGGUCUUUAGAGCUCGGAUAUAGUACGAGCACGAAGCCUACGGACAUUAAUCAGUGAUAAUAUUCUCGCAUAAAGCCUGCGAGGUUUUAACCCGGAUAUAGUACUGACACAAAUGCCCUUCGGGACUUAUCACAUUUACACACUUUCACAUCCAUCACGUUGGCCACUCGGCCCUAUCACAUAUAUACACUUUCACAUUCAUCACAUUGGCCAUUCAGCCUUAUCACAUAUAUACACUUUCACAUUCAUCACAUCGGCCAUUAGGCCUUAUCACAUAUAUACACUUUCACAUUCAUCACAUUGGCCAUUCGGCCUUAUCACAUAUAUACACUUUCACAUUCAUCACAUCGGCCAUUAGGCCUUAUCACAUAUAUACACUUUCACAUUCAUCACAUCAGCUAUUAGGCCUUAUCACAUAUAUACACUUUCACAUUCAUCACAUCGGCCAUUAGGCCUUAUCACAUAUAUAUACACUUUCACAUUCAUCACAUUGGCCAUUCGGCCUUAUCACAUAUAUACACUUUCACAUUCAUCACAUCGGCCAUUAGGCCUUAUCACAUAUAUACACUUUCACAUUCAUCACAUCGACUAUUAGGCCUUAUCACAUAUAUACACUUUCACAUUCAUCACAUCGGCCAUUAGGCCUUAUCACAUAUAUAUACACUUUCACAUUCAUCACAUUGGCCAUUCGGCCUUAUCACAUAUAUACACUUUCACAUUCAUCACAUCGGCCAUUAGGCCUUAUCACAUAUAUACACUUUCACAUUCAUCACAUCGGCUAUUAGGCCUUAUCACAUAUAUACACUUUCACAUUCAUCACAUCGGCCAUUAGGCCUUAUCACAUAUAUACACUUUCACAUUUAUUCAAAUAUACUUCACAUACCACAUAUACUAUCAUGUACAGACUUGGUCUUGGCCGAAUCUACAUCCAUCACUUUCCAAUGAAUAAUUCAAUUUUACGCCAUACUAUCAUUUCAUAUUCGAAUACUCAUAAACUUACAAUAUCACGAUUUAGAAUUCAAGUAUGGGUUUAAUCAAUAGCUUAUGAGCAACUAAAACAAGUUUUAUCCAUGUUUACAACAAAAUCACAUAUUUACUACGAGCUGUUUUCUUGAGAAAUGGUCACUAAAUCAUUUAUAAUCGGAGCUACAAGACUCCAAAUCACUUGCCGUUAAUUUUCCCUGAAUAUAGACUCAUAUAUCUUUCAUCCAUAAAGUUUUCAGAAUUUUAGGUUUGGCCAAUCAAUACCAGAUUUUUCUUAAAGUUUCCCCUGUUUCACUGUUUGACUAAUCUGACCAGUCUUCACUACGAAUCAAAAUUCUCAUUGUAAAGAAUUCAAAGUAUGUUCUAUUUGAUUUCAUUUGAAACUAUACUUAUUAAGGAGUCUAAGCAUAUAAAUUUUAUCUUGUAACCAUUUUUGUACAAAUUAUAGUGAUUUUCUUAAAACAGAACAGGGGAUUUCGGAGUUAUUCUGACACUGUCUCACACAACUUUAAAUAUCUCUUUAUAGGAAAUUCCUUUGCUUACACGGUUUCUUUUAUAAGAAACUAGACUCAUUAAUCUUUAAUUUCAUGUCUCAUUCAGCCUCUAAUUCAAGUCCAUAAAUUUAUGGUGAUUUUCUAAAGUCACGUUACUGCUGCUGUCCUAAGCAGACUAUUUCAAAUUACCCUUAAAUUCCCAAGCUCAAACACUUAAGAACUUACCAUUUGAGCUUAGAACAUAUCAUGGCCACAUCAUAUCUUAUUAAAUCAACUCAUCAUUUCCUAUUAUAAUUGAAUUUACUCAACGUUUAAUCACUUAAAACUUACCUCGGAAGUGGUCGACGACUAGAUAUCCACGGCUAUUCGUUUACUUUCUCUUUAUCCAAAAUUGCCCCUCUAUGCUCUUGAGUUUAACUUAUUUGAAGUCUUCUUUUGCCGAAUGCCCUAAGCUCAAAGGUUUCUAUUUUGUUUCUCAACUCACGGCAAGAAGAAGAAGAAAUGGCCUUGUUAUUUUC
RNAcentral lists this long non-coding RNA (2572 nucleotides) under Gossypium barbadense (sea-island cotton). RNAcentral's name for it is "long non-coding RNA (GBAR_LNC007535)". Lineage: Eukaryota; Viridiplantae; Streptophyta; Magnoliopsida; Malvales; Malvaceae. The record is from RNAcentral.